CAAUUAUUUAGUUAAAAAACGGAAGUUUGAUAUCAGCCUAUAGUUGUCAUUUGUGACGUGUCUAGAUUGUUCUUUUUUUUAGCAAUUUUAAG
Molecule: long non-coding RNA, 92 nt
Organism: Etheostoma spectabile (orangethroat darter)
Lineage: Eukaryota; Metazoa; Chordata; Actinopteri; Perciformes; Percidae
Exons: 3
Source: RefSeq, a predicted model, not a curated record